AUCCAGCCGACGAAUCUCAAAUAGAACGAAACGCUCGUUCUGGAU
This 45-nucleotide non-coding RNA is filed under the name Schistosoma mattheei. The record is from RNAcentral. Lineage: Eukaryota; Metazoa; Platyhelminthes; Trematoda; Strigeidida; Schistosomatidae.